AGCAGCAUGGCGCAGUGGUAGCGCGCGGGGCCCAUAUUAUGUCGCACAAACUAUGCACCCCGAGGUCACUUGAUCGAAACAAGUUGCUGCUA
Non-coding RNA from Lentinula lateritia, 92 nucleotides. Lineage: Eukaryota; Fungi; Basidiomycota; Agaricomycetes; Agaricales; Omphalotaceae. The record is from the annotation of a GenBank genome assembly.